GUGCUCACCUCAGCAUCACACAUGCAAAAGUGGAAUGCUACAGAGAAGAUUAGCAUGGCCCCUCCACAAGGAUGACACACAAAUUCGUGAAGUGUCCCAUAUUUUU
This 106-nucleotide small nuclear RNA is filed under the name Aotus nancymaae (Ma's night monkey). The record is from RNAcentral. Lineage: Eukaryota; Metazoa; Chordata; Mammalia; Primates; Aotidae.